CAGCAUAAUACACUUUAAGUCAUGAAGAGAUCCCAGGCCAAACUUAGCAAGACUAAAUAAAGAGCAGCCAACAGUAAGAAAACUGCAACUUUCAUUCCAAUAAACACCUGUGCAUUAUCACAAAUAAUUAGCCAAGAAAAAUAUGGAUAUAAUGCAAUACCAAUAUAUCAAAAGUUGUAUACAGAUGAAUACGCAUGGAAUGCGGAGCUCAUGUGAAGUCUGGAAUCCCUUAAUAGGGCCAAUAUCAAGAUCCAAAGCAAGAGCAUUCAUUGGAAAAGAUGAGCAUUAAAAUACAAAACAAAGUCACUAUCGAAAUGUUCAAUGCAAUGCAUGUUAACCUUGACACAAGUUAGAUGGUAUUGCACGUUUAUCUUAGUCCAAGAAAAAAGUAACUGAAGUCCAUGAAUUCCAGUUUGGAGUCCGUCAUUCAAAAAGAACAAAUAAAAUUACGUAACUCUAAACCAUCUUGUUUGUUGCCUAACACUCUUCCUUACAUGUUGAAAAGAUUUUGCUAACUGAAUAUUAUUAGAAGAGGGAAAGUAAAGACCAGGCCUAAGUAAAUAUGUAAGAGAUUCCACUGCUUGCAGAAACUUUCUUUCAUCUGACCACCAUGAAGGCAUGAACAUGAUAAUGUACUGGUCAAGAUUUUUUGUAAGCUUUAGAAUUCAAUGAACCAAUUUUCAUAUUUCAAAACAACCCCAGAAGGUUAUGUUAUAAACAAAUGGAUUAGUAAAUAUAUAUGGAGCUCUAGCUGCCUUCUUGUCUGUUACACUCACUUGAUUUUAGAGCUAUGUUAUUCGCAUUCGAAUCGAGUGUCUGGUUGGAUGAGGUAGUUUGAAGUGUCCGACAUGGGACUCCCAAUUUUGCCAAUUUUUUACACUAAAAUGAAGUGUCCAGUACCCACACCCUUGUCCAAGUGUCGAGUGUCGGACGCGGGUACUUUAUGGAAAGUGAAGAGUUUAUGUUACAUAGUGUUAGAGCAAAAAACGAAUAAAAGUACAACAUGAUAAGAUAGACAAUAUGAAAUUCCUGAAAGGAAAGAUCUUGACAUCCUUAGAUUUACCAAGACCUUUAUAUGUUAUAUGAAGCACAAUCUCAAAAAGAAAAGGCUUUAGACCCAAUCCUCCACCACAAUUAAUCCCAAAAAAAUAUGUCCGCAACCUCUUGCAACUGAGGAAUAAUUAACAAAUCACCACUCCUUCCUUUUUCUACUGUUAUACUUCUUUUUCUAGAUUGAGAUAGAGCAAUAUCCAAUAUUCCUACUCCCUCCUUCCGAAAUUGAGAGUCCAACUUUCAUUUUCAGGAUGUUCAGAAACUAGAGUCCACAUUCCUAAUAAAUGCACCAAAUCACAUUAUAUUUAAGAGGUUUUAAUCUUAACCAUUUAUUAUACUUAGCAAAUUUCCUGAAAAAGUUUGACUUCCUAGGUGGACUCUUAUUUGGACAGAGGGAGUACAAUGUAAGAAUUCUCAAUCACAUGUUAGCAGUAGUUGGAGAAGUGUCAGAUCAAGGAUUGAAAAUUAUGUAUGUCAAGUUAUAAACUAAUGUCUUUGUCUUCCUUGUGUUUAGUAAGAUUCCCUUCCUUGUAGGAGUUGGUACUUCUUACCUGAUAAUUGCUUUUAGGAUAUAAUAUGGUUGCAUAAUUACAUAACUGAAAGAGUUCAAAUAACGGCUUGGACUAGAACAUAACUGAUAAUGGAAUUGUUUUAUAUAUAUAAAUGCUGCCGUCAUGUACAACAGACUAUUAGAUUAGGUCAAAGGUAGCAGCUUUUCAUACUGCAAGAGGAUGCUCCAGAAAUGAUGCUACAGCUUAAUCACCAGGUUUAUGUAUCGAUAACAAAAACUGAUCAGCAGCAACGCUAAUACCGUAUUUCAGCAGUAUUUGUUGCACCUUGAAAGCUGCAGUUUCAAAAGGAUUCUGAACCCAUUUUUUCUCGUAGCCAAGAAUGAGUGCCUGGUAAGUAACAUCGUUUGGAACUAUACCAUGUUUAACCAUCAUAUUAACCAACUGGCACGCAUCAUCAACACUGCCUACACUACAAAAUCCAUGUAUAAGUGUGUUAUACAACAUCAGAUCUGUAACCAAACCUAUACCAAGCAUCUUAUUAAAAAGAGCAUUAGCCUCUUCCAUACAACAUGCCCUACAGUACCCAUUAAGAAGGGCACUGCACAUCACAACAUCAGGCUUCAUAUGGUGCUGACUCAUGUAAAACCACACAAGCAAUGCCUCUUCAAAGUUUCCAUCCUUGAGUACCCGCUGAUGAUAUCAGUAAACGUUACAACAUCGGGAGAAAACCCCCUUCUCAUGAGCUCAUCCAGCAUAUCUUUAGCUUCAGUCACAAAUCCUAGAAGGAUAAGACUGUGAAUGAUAGUAUUAUAAGUCACCACAUCAGGAGAUAUACCAGCUGAUUUCAUCAUAUCUAAGAUAGCAAAAGCUUUAUGUAAGUUGCCCUUCUUUCCAUACCCAUUAAUUAAGGUGUUGUACAUAGUAAUAUCAGGUGCCAAACCCACCUUUAUCAUAUUGUUAUAUAAAUGUUCUGCUGUAUACACAUCUCCAGACUUGCAAUAACCAUCAAUCAUAAUGGUGUAGGUAGUAACAGAUGCUUUAAUUCCCCUCUUCAACAUCUUCCCCAAAAAGAUAAGGGCAUUAUUGACAUCCUUCACUUUGCAUAUCCUCCGAUGAUAGUGGUGUGACUACAACAAUUAGGAAGUAAACUCUAUCAUCUCUUGGAAAAUGUUAGACGCUGCAGCCAUGUUACCAUCUGUACACAAUUUGGAAAUGAAGCUGUUGUAGAUGUAAAUAUUAGGGGGAAGACUAAAUAUCUUCAAAAUAUCAAUUGCUUUAUUGGAAUAACCCAUUUUGCAGAGCCCAUAAAUCAGACAACUAACAGAUACCGAAUUAGGGGUGUUACCCAUCUGGCCCAUUUUUAAUAAUAAAGAGGUCGCCUCCUUUAAAAGACUAAUUUUACAGAGGGAAUUAAUCAAUAGUGUAUGCAACUACGUCGGGAUUAAUCCCAUAGUUUUUCAUUUCUAUCAUCAUCUUCCAACCACAUUCAAGAUUGCCUUCUCUACAGUAAUUGUGUAUAAAUAAGCUAAAAAUUGAAGUAUUAACGCACAGUCCCUGGCUUUGAAUCUCUUCCAGAAAAUCCCAUGCCAAGUUCAAUCUGUUUCGAUUGUAAUAAUGCUCUAAUAAGUGAAUUGCAAACCCCUAAAGAUGGAAAGAAAUUAUAAUGUUUCAUUUGACAAGUUAAUUUCAGAGCCAUAUUUGUCAUAUUUUCCUUAACAUAGCAGUCAACAAUCAUGCUAUAUGCAGUUCCCAAAGUGUUUCUCUCAGUAUGGGUUUCAUGAAGGGCUUCCAAAAUCAGUCUCGCUGCAACUAUUUUUUUCAUAGCCUAAAUUCCAACCGUGUGUCUUAAGAAUAAAUUUAAUUCUUCUCAACUUAUCUGCAUCCUCAGCUUUCAGAUGAAAUCCAUACAUGGAAUAAUUCUUGUCAUUUACAAACUGAAAUACAUUAUUCCCACGAAGACCAAGAGAAGUCUUAUCAUGUGAUUCUGUAGAUUCAGCUGAAAUGCAUGUCACUUGGGAGAACAUCCUGACCAUGUUCAUUAUCAUCCACCCCAACACAAUCAUCACAGAAAGAGACCUGAUUGUCCUUGAAAUAUGAGGAACGUAGUUCUAAUAAGGCAAGAGACGAAAAAAUCCUAAAUGGUUUAAUCUUCCUAUCAAAUAUCAGCUUGGAUCCAGAACAACAAGCUUUGAUAACUGAAAUCAAUGCCUUCGUGAAAAGUUAUCCGGAUACUAGCAGGAAUAGAUGCCGUACACCAAGAAAAAUGAAAAAUUGCCAGUGUUAAAAGGGGGAAAUAUAUCUGAGCAUAUGAAAUGGGCCUCGGCACAUAUAAUGUAGAAAUUUGCUCAAAUUAUAAAAUACAAAAGUUAGAGCGCAUUGAGACGGCGGCUCUAUACUUCACAAACUGCUGGCAAGUACUAUUCUGGAAACAAAAACAGAAUCACAAGAUAUUUCAAUGUCUUUUGCUUCACUAAAGCAAUCAUUUUGUCAUUUUGCCUACAGAAAUCCCAAAACAGGAAAUAGUUACUUCUAAAUAGAAAAAUAAGAACAAAGUUGUAGUAAAUUACUUUAAGCCUUAAUAUACAAUAAAAGUUAACAUGGGUUAUCAAUAUACUUGUAUCUUUGAGGCCCAAACAUACAUAAAUAUAUGCAUUCUACAAACUCCAUUUAUAAUUAAAGAAAAAUGACAAAUGGAGUAAUGAUAUGGAAGAGAGAAUUAUACCUCUGACAAUGGAAGGAACCUUGAUAUGCUCCCCAUCGCUUCUGCUGCUGAGAAAAGCAGCAUUUUUCAUGGGACCUUCAUUAUCAAUACUCCUUCUUCUGCGUCAAGAAAAAAACAGCAUUUCGAAAGCAGAUUAUACAGAAGAAAGAUAAUUUUCUGCCCAAAUAGAUGAAAAAAUCAAACUGGCCACAGCAAAAAAAUUUAAAAAACAAAUUGGGAACUGUUUUGGAUUUGGCUGCGCUACCAAAUCAGAGGGAUUUAGGGGUUUUACCGGUGGUGCUAAUGGAAGCAAGAAAGCUGGGUUUUUGUGGGGUUUUGCUGUUGUCAAUCACAAUUAGGAAGAGGUGGGUUUAGGAAUUGGAGGCGUUGAAACCAGCUGUAGUAGCUCUUGACAAAUGAGCGAGAAGACGGCUUAUGCACAAUGACA
Molecule: long non-coding RNA, 4714 nt
Filed under: Panax ginseng (ginseng)
Lineage: Eukaryota; Viridiplantae; Streptophyta; Magnoliopsida; Apiales; Araliaceae
Description: long non-coding RNA (PGIN_LNC008113)
Source: RNAcentral